Molecule: ribosomal RNA, 506 nt
Filed under: uncultured bacterium
Lineage: Bacteria
Description: partial 16S ribosomal RNA
Rfam family: Bacterial small subunit ribosomal RNA
Source: RNAcentral
AGUGAACGCUGGCGGUAGGCCUAACACAUGCAAGUCGAACGGCAGCACAGGAGAGCUUGCUCUCUGGGUGGCGAGUGGCGGACGGGUGAGGAAUACAUCGGAAUCUACCUUUUCGUGGGGGACAACGUAGGGAAACUUACGCUAAUACCGCAUACGACCUACGGGUGAAAGUGGGGGACCGCAUGGCCUCACGCUAUUAGAUGAGCCGAUGUCCGAUUAGCUAGUUGGCGGGGUAAUGGCCCACCAAGGCGACGAUCGGUAGCUGGUCUGAGAGGAUGAUCAGCCACACUGGAACUGAGACACGGUCCAGACUCCUACGGGAGGCAGCAGUGGGGAAUAUUGGACAAUGGGCGCAAGCCUGAUCCAGCCAUACCGCGUGGGUGAAGAAGGCCUUCGGGUUGUAAAGCCCUUUUGUUGGGAAAGAAAUCCCGUCGAUUAAUACUCGGUGGGGAUGACGGUACCCAAAGAAUAAGCACCGGCUAACUUCGUGCCAGCCGCCGCCGUAA